GAUGAACGCUAGCGGCAGGCUUAACACAUGCAAGUCGAACGGUAACAGAUCGGAUUUAUUCGAUGCUGACGAGUGGCGCACGGGUGCGUAACACGUAUGCAACCUACCCUUUACAGGAGGACAGCCCCGAGAAAUCGGGAUUAAUACUCCAUGGCACUAUACGAUCGCAUGAUCUAAUAGUUAAAGAUUUAUCGGUAGAGGAUGGGCAUGCGGCCUAUUAGUUUGUUGGUGAGGUAACGGCUCACCAAGACUUCGAUAGGUAGGGGUUCUGAGAGGAUGAUCCCCCACACUGGUACUGAGACACGGACCAGACUCCUACGGGAGGCAGCAGUGAGGAAUAUUGGGCAAUGGAGGCAACUCUGACCCAGCCAUGCCGCGUGCAGGAAGACGGCCCUACGGGUUGUAAACUGCUUUUAUUUGGGAAGAAACCCACGCUCGUGAGCGUGGCUGACGGUACCAAACGAAUAAGCACCGGCUAACUCCG
This 484-nucleotide ribosomal RNA is filed under the name uncultured Cryomorphaceae bacterium. RNAcentral's name for it is "bacterial SSU rRNA". It matches the Rfam family "Bacterial small subunit ribosomal RNA", at positions 28 to 505 of the family's 1533-position model. The record is from RNAcentral. Lineage: Bacteria; Pseudomonadati; Bacteroidota; Flavobacteriia; Flavobacteriales; Cryomorphaceae.